Castor canadensis (American beaver) is the source of this 248-nucleotide non-coding RNA. The record is from RefSeq and is a predicted model, not a curated record. NCBI's taxonomy places the organism in Eukaryota, Metazoa, Chordata, Mammalia, Rodentia, Castoridae.
GUUGAUUGACAGCACUGACAUGAUACCAGGGACAUAGUGGGACUGGAAGGAGAAAUCCAGAGAAUUUGAUGCACUUGCUCCUGAAGAACAUCUCAUUUCUUUAGAAACAACUAUGUAUUCAUAAAACAAAUGUUAAGAAAUAUUUCUCCUUUAGCCAUAUCCAUAUUUAGAAACAAGGUCUACCAAAAAGAAGUGAGUUAAGGACCUGUUAUGCAUGUAUGGCUGUCAUCAAGAAAAGAAAAAACAAC